Molecule: ribosomal RNA, 428 nt
Filed under: uncultured bacterium
Lineage: Bacteria
Description: partial 16S ribosomal RNA
Rfam family: Bacterial small subunit ribosomal RNA
Source: RNAcentral
GUAGGGAAUAUUGCGCAAUGGACGAAAGUCUGACGCAGCGACGCCGCGUGAGUGAUGAAGGCCUUAGGGUCGUAAAGCUCUGUUGAAUGGGAAGAAAAAAAUGACGGUACCAUUCGAGGAAGGACCGGCUAACUUCGUGCCAGCAGCCGCGGUAAUACGAGGGGUCCUAGCGUUGUUCGGAAUCAUUGGGCGUAAAGGGUGUGUAGGUGGCCAUGUAAGUCAGGUGUGAAAGCCCCGGGCUCAACCCGGGAAGUGCACUUGAUACUGCGUGGCUUGAGUACCGAAGAGGGUAGUGGAAUUCCAGGUGUAGUGGUGAAAUACGUAGAUAUCUGGAGGAACACCGGUGGCGAAGGCGGAUAGCUGGCCAGACACUGACACUCAGACCCGAAAGCGUGGGGAUCAAACAGGAUUAGAAACCCCGGUAGUCC